AAGUCGUAACAAGGUUUCCUUAGGUGAACCUGCGGAAGGAUCAUUAACACGUAUCCAACGUUAAACCCCCCUGUGAACCUUUAGUGUGCUCCCUCAUUCUGUUGGAACGUUGCGCUUAAUUGUGCGGCCAUAAACCGAACAACUGUUAACAAUGGAUAUCUUGGUUCUC
RNAcentral lists this unclassified non-coding RNA (169 nucleotides) under fungal sp. RNAcentral describes it as "partial internal transcribed spacer region". The stretch from base 1 to 46 matches the Rfam family "Eukaryotic small subunit ribosomal RNA", at positions 1786 to 1831 of the family's 1831-position model. The record is from RNAcentral. Lineage: Eukaryota; Fungi.